UUAUUGCACAUUUGCAGGCUGAAAACAAUCAUUCUCUUCCACGGAACUUGCAAUUCGGAUUUCCUCUCGCAGAUUUUUGGUCGCAUUUCCAUUUGUGUGUGUGUUUGUGUCCUUACCAGUAGGAUAUACCCAUAGACACUAGAUUUUCUUUUCUUGUGACAAAAGAAAUGAUGGAAGCACUUUUGAUUAAAGUCCUUUUAUGCACAUAUCCUAACGGAUGCAGUGCGUGUUCAAAAAUCACCAUUGACAACGCCUCUAUUAUAGUAACACGCGUGGACUGGACACAGUGUGUCGAUACAAGAGAGUACAACAUGACCGUAAAGAACCCCGCCAACAGUGUGCUCUAUCAAAACAGUACAUCGUGCUGUAAAGGAAACAUCACAAUCUACUUUGAUGUCGAUGGUUAUUUAGAGGGAACAACUACAUCAUAUGAUUUGAAGUGGAUUACUGCUGAAGAGACAACAUCGUCGAAAACCACUCCCAUCAAUCCCUUUGGAUUUUAAUGAAGACUAGCAGCGGUGCCUUGAUUUUCGAGCCUCAAAACCAGCCUCGCUCACAUCGUGUCAUGGCCGUGAUGGCUGUUGCCUCGAAACAACAGUGGCGGAUCCAGGAUUUCCGAAAGGAGGGGGAUUGUGAAAGUAGAGUAUUAAUCAAAGUACUCAGCCAUUUUGGGUGCCAAUCUGGACUUUUACUGUCAUUAUUUGUAUUUUUAAAUUUGUGGUGAAAAUGGGGAGGGCAUCGGAAUCCCCCACUGAAUUACAUAAGCAAGAGAACUUUUGAAGCGUUGAUUGUACUCAUACGCAAGAAAAUACUGAUCACGUGACCAAUUUCAUGUUAUGCGAAAUUGAAUAUCAAUUUCA
Molecule: RNA transcript, 860 nt
Organism: Ostrea edulis (European flat oyster)
Lineage: Eukaryota; Metazoa; Mollusca; Bivalvia; Ostreida; Ostreidae
Exons: 4
Source: RefSeq, a predicted model, not a curated record